This is a long non-coding RNA of Mus musculus (house mouse), 850 nucleotides long. RefSeq annotates it as predicted gene, 36619. The record is from RefSeq and is a predicted model, not a curated record. Lineage: Eukaryota; Metazoa; Chordata; Mammalia; Rodentia; Muridae. The transcript is spliced from 3 exons.
UAAGACUUGGCUGCAGUCCGGGUGCCAUCUUGGGACUACCGCCGCACCCGCUCCCCAGAACCUAUGAUGUAACAGGGGUCUCGAGAGCGGUAAGAGUGGAGAAGGCACGGCCGGCCGCAGGAGGCCAGGGAACAGGAAGCUGAGCGAGAAGAACCCAGCCACACACAGGAAACAGAGAGAGCAAGCCGGAAGUGGGGCGGAGCCGUAAGACCAUCGAAGGCCACCCCUACACCGCUUUCUCCAGCAAGGCUGCACCACUGUCAUGUUUUCCUCUGGGACAAAAAUCGGCCCAUGAAGAUACAGAGAAGUUUCUUACAGUGACUGUAAGUUCCACAGAGGACGGCGUUGAGUCUGCAGCAAGGAAAGCAGCUGUGACAAGCAGGGGCUCCAGGAGGAACCGGCUACUCUCCUCUGGGCUUCCUACUUCCAAUAGCUGGUGUCUCCAUCCUCAGCUCAGCCCUUGCUUCAGCUAGGAAUACACAAGUGAGUCCAUGUGCAUCCUUGCCCUUGCCGACACCCCGGUGUCAGAGCCGAUCAAUGUGCUGUGAUCACCUUCCUGUGACAUACGCUUUGAAACAUCCGUCAGCACCUGCUCUCUCAACUCCGACUUCCAUCUUGGCCCACACUCGGCUCUUGCAUUAUUUAUCUGGCUAUUUAUUCCUCCCAGAUUCUUCCUGGUACUCCCUGGGUGCAAAUCAGAACUUUUGAAAACAGCCUCAAGUUUCCCAGUCACUAGAGGCCCAUUUACUCUCAUUUACUGGAGUAAGGAUCUCUUCAAUGGUGCCCCAGUGGCUCGGGUAAAUGGAUGCCCCUCUCCAACUGCCUAAUUGCAUCCUGAGCACGACUUGGC